UGGGACUGAGACACGGCCCAGACUCCUACGGGAGGCAGCAGUGGGGAAUAUUGCACAAUGGGCGAAAGCCUGAUGCAGCGACGCCGCGUGAGGGAUGACGGCCUUCGGGUUGUAAACCUCUUUCAGCAGGGAAGAAGCGAGAGUGACGGUACCUGCAGAAGAAGCGCCGGCUAACUACGUGCCAGCAGCCGCGGUAAUACGUAGGGCGCAAGCGUUGUCCGGAAUUAUUGGGCGUAAAGAGCUCGUAGGCGGCUUGUCACGUCGGUUGUGAAAGCCCGGGGCUUAACCCCGGGUCUGCAGUCGAUACGGGCAGGCUAGAGUUCGGUAGGGGAGAUCGGAAUUCCUGGUGUAGCGGUGAAAUGCGCAGAUAUCAGGAGGAACACCGGUGGCGAAGGCGGAUCUCUGGGCCGAUACUGACGCUGAGGAGCGAAAGCGUGGGGAGCGAACAGGAUUAGAUACCCUGGUAGUCCACGCCGUAAACGGUGGGCACUAGGUGUGGGCAACAUUCCACGUUGUCCGUGCCGCAGCUAACGCAUUAAGUGCCCCGCCUGGGGAGUACGGCCGCAAGGCUAAAACUCAAAGGAAUUGACGGGGGCCCGC
Molecule: ribosomal RNA, 600 nt
Filed under: bacterium 2d92109
Lineage: Bacteria
Also listed under: 1 other name
Description: bacterial SSU rRNA
Rfam family: Bacterial small subunit ribosomal RNA
Source: RNAcentral